This 450-nucleotide ribosomal RNA is filed under the name uncultured bacterium. Its description in RNAcentral is "bacterial SSU rRNA". It matches the Rfam family "Bacterial small subunit ribosomal RNA", at positions 30 to 479 of the family's 1533-position model. The record is from RNAcentral.
AUUGAACGCUGGCGGAAUGCUUUACACAUGCAAGUCGAACGGCAGCACGGGGCAACCUGGUGGCGAGUGGCGAACGGGUGAGUAAUACAUCGGAACGUGCCCAAUCGUGGGGAUAACGUAGCGAAGUUACGCUAAUACCGCAUACGAUCUACGGAUGAAAGCGGGGGAUCGCAAGACCUCGCGCGAAUGGAGCGGCCGAUGUCAGAUUAGGUAGUUGGUGGGGUAAAGGCUCACCAAGCCAACGAUCUGUAGCUGGUCUGAGAGGACGACCAGCCACACUGGAACUGAGACACGGUCCAGACUCCUACGGGAGGCAGCAGUGGGGAAUUUUGGACAAUGGGCGCAAGCCUGAUCCAGCCAUUCCGCGUGCAGGAUGAAGGCCUCGGUUGUAACUGCUUUGUACGGUAACGAAACGGCGAGCUCUAAUACAGUUUGUCUAAUGACGGUACC